AAAACGGCCCUUUUCAGGGCCACCAUUUUUUGCAAGAUCGAGAUG
Molecule: regulatory RNA element, 45 nt
Organism: Tropilaelaps mercedesae
Lineage: Eukaryota; Metazoa; Arthropoda; Arachnida; Mesostigmata; Laelapidae
Rfam family: Histone 3' UTR stem-loop
About the family: The mRNAs of metazoan histone genes lack a poly-A tail. 3' end processing occurs at a site between a highly conserved stem-loop (modelled by this family) and a purine rich region around 20 nts downstream (the histone downstream element, or HDE). The stem-loop is bound by a 31 kDa stem-loop binding protein (SLBP - also termed the histone hairpin binding protein, or HBP).
Source: Rfam